Long non-coding RNA from Cydia fagiglandana, 285 nucleotides. RefSeq lists it as uncharacterized. The transcript is spliced from 2 exons. The record is from RefSeq and is a predicted model, not a curated record. Lineage: Eukaryota; Metazoa; Arthropoda; Insecta; Lepidoptera; Tortricidae.
CGACUUUCAAUUCGGAGGUCGCGGGUUCAAACCCCGGCUCGUACCAAUGAAUUUUUCGGAACUUAUGUACGAAAUAUCAUUUGAUAUUUACCAGUUGCUUUUCGGUGAAGGAAAACAUCGUGAGGAAACCGGACUAAUCCCAACAAGGCCUAGUUUCCCCUUUGGGUUGAAAGAUGGCAGUCGCUUUCGUAAAAACUAGCGCCUACGCCAAUUCUUGGGAUUAGUUGCCAAGCGGACCCCAGGCUCCCAUGAGCCGUGGCAAAAAUGCCGGGACAACGCGAGGAA